CGGGCGGGUGAGUAAUGUCUGGGAAACUGCCCGAUGGAGGGGGAUAACUACUGGAAACGGUAGCUAAUACCGCAUAACGUCGCAAGACCAAAGAGGGGACCUUAGGGCCUCUUGCCAUCGGAUGUGCCCAGAUGGGAUUAGCUAGUAGGUGGGGUAAAGGCUCACCUAGGCGACGAUCCCUAGCUGGUCUGAGAGGAUGACCAGCCACACUGGAACUGAGACACGGUCCAG
This 231-nucleotide ribosomal RNA is filed under the name uncultured bacterium. RNAcentral's name for it is "partial 16S ribosomal RNA". It matches the Rfam family "Bacterial small subunit ribosomal RNA", at positions 99 to 334 of the family's 1533-position model. The record is from RNAcentral.